This 65-nucleotide transfer RNA is filed under the name Burkholderia phage AMP1. RNAcentral's name for it is "tRNA-Ser". The record is from RNAcentral. Lineage: Duplodnaviria; Heunggongvirae; Uroviricota; Caudoviricetes; Autographivirales; Autonotataviridae.
GCGGGCGGCGAUUCAAUGCCCUCCGAAGGCAGGGGUUGCUGGUUCGAUCCCAGCCGGGCGCGCCA